UACGUAGGGUGCGGGCGUUGUCCGGAAUUAUUGGGCGUAAAGAGCUCGUAGGCGGUUUGUCGCGUCUGCUGUGAAAACUCGGGGCUUAACUCCGGGCCUGCAGUGGGUACGGGCAGACUAGAGUGCGGUAGGGGAGACUGGAAUUCCUGGUGUAGCGGUGAAAUGCGCAGAUAUCAGGAAGAACACCCGUGGCGAAGGCGGCUCUCUGGGACGGUACUGACGCUGAGACGCGAAAGCGUGGGGAGCGAACAGG
RNAcentral lists this ribosomal RNA (253 nucleotides) under uncultured bacterium. RNAcentral describes it as "partial 16S ribosomal RNA". It matches the Rfam family "Bacterial small subunit ribosomal RNA", at positions 524 to 776 of the family's 1533-position model. The record is from RNAcentral.